AUCGUAUCUAAACGCUGACCAUGCUGGAAUUCUCUAUCUUCGAGCGGAAGUAGCUACCGUGCGACACCAUGUGAGUCACCUGUUUCUUUCUACAGGUACAAUUCCAGGAAGGUUGCGAGGUAUCGAAAAUGUUGAAGUGGUCACCACUUCUAAGAAAACUCCACAUCUGGUCUUUUUAGUUUUCUCAAGCACUGAAGCCAUCCACAGCGUAUAGACAAAAGACCAUAAACAGUAGACAAGCGACGUUGGCUUCGGGGUUUUCAGUUAUAAGGUAACGCCG
RNAcentral lists this unclassified non-coding RNA (280 nucleotides) under Bombus terrestris (buff-tailed bumblebee). Its description in RNAcentral is "misc RNA ENSBTSG00005019903.1". The record is from RNAcentral. Lineage: Eukaryota; Metazoa; Arthropoda; Insecta; Hymenoptera; Apidae.